UGAUGGAGUGCUUACUUCGUGUGUUCC
Molecule: non-coding RNA, 27 nt
Filed under: Mus musculus (house mouse)
Lineage: Eukaryota; Metazoa; Chordata; Mammalia; Rodentia; Muridae
Source: RNAcentral